GUUAGUUUUGUGUAAUAUUUGUAACACAUUGUACUCCCAAUGAGAGGACCCAAGUUCAAACCUUGGAGAUGACA
Gossypium raimondii (Peruvian cotton) is the source of this 74-nucleotide transfer RNA. It matches the Rfam family "tRNA". Rfam says of the family: Transfer RNA (tRNA) molecules are approximately 80 nucleotides in length. NCBI's taxonomy places the organism in Eukaryota, Viridiplantae, Streptophyta, Magnoliopsida, Malvales, Malvaceae. The record is from Rfam.